GAUGAACGCUAGCGGCAGGCCUAAUACAUGCAAGACGAACGGUAAGUUGAGUAGCAAUACUUGACCAAGAGUGUCGUAAGGGUGCGUAACACGUAUGCAAUCUGCCCUCAACAGGAGGAUAGCUCCCCGAAAGGGAAUUAAUACUGCGUAAGAUUGUAGUUCGGCAUCGGACAGCAAUUAAAACCGAGGUGGUUGAGGAUGAGCAUGCGCAUGAUUAGUUAGUUGGCGGGGUAACGGCCCACCAAGACGAUGAUCAUUAGGGGAACUGAGAGGUUGAUCCCCCACACUGGCACUGAGAUACGGGCCAGACUCCUACGGGAGGCAGCAGUAGGGAAUAUUGGACAAUGGGUGCGAGCCUGAUCCAGCCAUGCCGCGUGCAGGA
RNAcentral lists this ribosomal RNA (382 nucleotides) under uncultured bacterium SA13. Its description in RNAcentral is "bacterial SSU rRNA". It matches the Rfam family "Bacterial small subunit ribosomal RNA", at positions 28 to 408 of the family's 1533-position model. The record is from RNAcentral.